Molecule: ribosomal RNA, 554 nt
Filed under: Bacillus cereus
Lineage: Bacteria; Bacillati; Bacillota; Bacilli; Caryophanales; Bacillaceae
Description: bacterial SSU rRNA
Rfam family: Bacterial small subunit ribosomal RNA
Source: RNAcentral
AGCGUUACCCGAAAAUUGGUAACAUGAUGACCGCGCAGGCGGUUUCUUAAGUCUGAUGUGAAAGCCCACGGCUCCCCCGUGGAGGGUCAUUGGAAACUGGGAGACUUGAGUGCAGAAGAGGAAAGUGGAAUUCCAUGUGUAGCGGUGAAAUGCGUAGAGAUAUGGAGGAACACCAGUGGCGAAGGCGACUUUCUGGUCUGUAACUGACACUGAGGCGCGAAAGCGUGGGGAGCAAACAGGAUUAGAUACCCUGGUAGUCCACGCCGUAAACGAUGAGUGCUAAGUGUUAGAGGGUUUCCGCCCUUUAGUGCUGAAGUUAACGCAUUAAGCACUCCGCCUGGCGAGUACGGCCGCAAGGCUGAAACUCAAAGGAAUUGACGGGGGCCCGCCCAAGCGGUGGAGCAUGUGGUUUAAUUCGAAACAACGCGAAGAACCUUACCAGGUCUUGACAUCCUCUGACAACCCUAGAGAUAGGGCUUCUCCUUCGGGAGCAGAGUGACAGGCGGUGCAUGGUUGUCUUCAGCUCGUGUCGUGAGAUGUUGGCUUAAACCCAC